Molecule: ribosomal RNA, 416 nt
Filed under: uncultured Thermovirga sp.
Lineage: Bacteria; Thermotogati; Synergistota; Synergistia; Synergistales; Thermovirgaceae
Description: bacterial SSU rRNA
Rfam family: Bacterial small subunit ribosomal RNA
Source: RNAcentral
GGGUUUGACAUGUACGUGUUACUGAUCUGAGAGGAGAGGGACCCAUGCUUCGGUAUGGGAGCGUACACAGGUGCUGCAUGGCUGUCGUCAGGCUCGUGUCGUGAGAUGUUGGGUUAAGUCCCGCAACGAGCGCAACCCUGCAUCCAGUUGCCAUCGGGCGAGCCGGGCACUCUGGAGGGACUGCCGGCGACAAGCCGGAGGAAGGUGGGGAUGACGUCAAGUCAUCAUGGCCCUUAUGUCCAGGGCGACACACGUGCUACAAUGGCCGGCACAGCGGGAAGCGGAGGGGCGACCCUGAGCGGAUCCCUUGAAAGCCGGUCCCAGUUCGGAUUGCAGUCUGCAACUCGACUGCAUGAAGUUGGAAUCGCUAGUAAUCGCGGAUCAGCCAAGCCGCGGUGAAUACGUUCCCGGGCCUU